AACGAACGUUGAUGGCGUGCCUCAUACAUGCAAGUCGAGCGCCCCGCAAGGGGAGCGGCGAACGGGUGAGUAACACGUAAGGAAUCUGCCCUGAAGCGGGGAAUAACUAUCCCAACGGAUAGCUAAUACCGCAUAAUGAUGGAGACGGCAUCGUCUCUUCUCAAAAGGCUUCGGCCACUUCAGGAUGACCUUGCGUCCCAUUAGCUUGUUGGCGGGGUAACGGCCCACCAAGGCUACGAUGGGUAUCCGGCCUGAGAGGGUGUACGGACACAUUGGGACUGAGAUACGGCCCAGACUCCUACGGGAGGCAGCAGUAGGGAAUUUUGCGCAAUGGGGGAAACCCUGACGCAGCAACGCCAUGUGUGGGAUGAAGCAUUUCGGUGUGUAAACCACUGUCAGCAGGGAAUAAACGAUAGCUUCGGGCUAUUUUGAAUGUACCUGCAAAGGAAGCCCCGGCUAACUUCGUGC
Molecule: ribosomal RNA, 468 nt
Filed under: uncultured bacterium
Lineage: Bacteria
Description: bacterial SSU rRNA
Rfam family: Bacterial small subunit ribosomal RNA
Source: RNAcentral